GAAAGUUCUGAUCAAAAUACACAAAGACACAAGCCAGGUCCCCACCGCGCUUGGCAUCCAUAGCAGCCUUGGUGCUGUGGACACUCCCUGGGGCCCAGCGAAGGGGAGAGUUUGCUCCCAAAGGCACACCAAUGACCAACAUUUGCCCCCCGGAGGAAAGAACUGGAACCAGGUGUCUGUGAUAGGGCCCCUGACUUCCUCUCCCCGUCUGAAGACCAGGUGCUGAGGCCUGCCUUGGGCAGCUCAGUGGCUCUGAACUGCACGGCUUGGGUAGUCUCUGGGCCCCACUGCUCCCUGCCUUCAGUCCAGUGGCUGAAAGAUGGGCUUCCGUUGGGAAAUGGGGGCCACUACAGCCUCCACGAGCACUCCUGGGUCAAGGCCAACCUGUCAGAGGUGCUUGUGUCCAGUGUCCUGGGGGUCAACGUGACCAGCGCUGAAGUCUAUGGGGCCUUCACCUGCUCCAUCCAGAACAUCAGCUUCUCCUUCACUCUUCAGAGAGCUGGCCCUACAAGCCACGUGGCUGCGGUGCUGGCCUCCCUCCUGGUCCUGCUGGCCCUGCUGCU
Molecule: small RNA, 563 nt
Filed under: Pan troglodytes (chimpanzee)
Lineage: Eukaryota; Metazoa; Chordata; Mammalia; Primates; Hominidae
Description: processed transcript
Source: RNAcentral